Non-coding RNA from Homo sapiens (human), 5677 nucleotides. Lineage: Eukaryota; Metazoa; Chordata; Mammalia; Primates; Hominidae. The record is from RefSeq and is a predicted model, not a curated record.
AACUCUUGAAUUAUACGAAGGACCUGGCCGCAAGAAGGCAUUGAGCCCCGAGGAGGACAACAGGCCUCAGCUCUUGGCACCAAGUAACUAUGAAGACUCUGAGAACUGGACCAUCCCAAGGCUGUAGCUUUCUUCAAGCCUGGCAGGCUCUGUCGUGGUGAAGAGUCUGAAGGCUUUUUCUUUUCCAGAUGUAAUUAUUAACCAACAUUCACAUCAGAUUCACAAUUGGAAACCCAGCUGUUAAACAUUUACCAGCACACUACUGGAAAGAAGUGCAUAUGGACUACUCGCUUGGGAUUCCAGAAGAAAGAACGUUAUAGAACACCUACAACUUGGCAAUCAGGGGCCUGAGGUACAGCUGAAGUACAGCUGUGGAAGAGGAGAUGCUAAUUCCUGGAGAGAGAGCAACACAGAUUUUACAGUCAGCAGCCAGAGACUACCCUCAGAACAGGAAUGUGAAAAAUAAACCAGAUAUGCUGAACUGGAUACCAACAAGGUUAAAUGGUGGAAAAGCCAUAAUCACUUCUAAAUUCAAGGGUAGGAUUAAUACUGUAUUUUCACAGUACCUGAAAGUUCUGUGGCCUUUCCUAGACACCAGUUCAUGUGAUCACCAGAACAGAACUGAGGUUGAGGGGAAAGUUAGCUAUCAGCAUUGGGCCCAUUUUACAGAUGGGAAACUGAGGCAGUGGAAGGUAAAGUAGUUUGCCCAAGGUUACUGUUUCUGCAUAAAUGGCUGCCCUGGGACUAGAUGGGAACAGAACUACCACAGACUUGUGGGUCAGACAUACUUUGGUUAAAAACUCAACCUUGACAUUUAUGUAAUGUUGGUAAUGUUACUUUACCUUUUUAAGCCUGGGGUUUUUUGUUUGUUUGUUUGUUUGUUUGUUUGUUUAAACUUACAAAAUGGGGAGGAUAAAGCCUAGAUCAUAAGUUUGCAGUGAGGGUUAGUUUAAGGAGAUGAUAGGUGCAAAGGACCUGGUGCUCGGGAAGCCUUUGCACCUCCCACCGUGUACUUACAUUACUUACAUUUGAUUUUGAAAUAUAGUAUAAGACUGCUUUGGCUAACAUAUUUACUUUUCUAAUUAUAUUUGUUGGGUUUAGGUUAAUUACUCUGCAUGGCCUUAGGCCAGACCAAUUUGAGGGGGUGGGGGCAGGGGCAGGGAGGAGGGAGAAGGGAGAAGGGAAGAGGUGGGUCAGAAGAGGAAAUCUGGUUAUGAUUCCUGUGAAGGUGGAGGUGGAGCUGGAGCAUCUGGGCAGGGGAAGAAUUAAAAUUUCGUAAAGGGCUCCUUCACUCACUGAUAAUUGGAGAUAAUCUGUAUACACUAUCAUGUUCAACAAGGCCAUUUCAUGCCACAGAAGCUAGAGUUCCAGAUGGACUGCCUCUGCCUAGACCUAGGGCUCCAUAUCACCACCAGCAGAAAUGAGAAGGCUUGGAGACCUCUGUGCCCCUGAAACCCUCACGGCCUCACCAGCACUCUCUGCCUUGGAACAAGACCCAUCCCCAUGAAAAGCUGAGGCCUCAGGUCAUCCCUCAGCUGCCAGGGCAGGGAGGCAGCCACCCCCCUACUUCCCAGGGCCCUCACUCCUCCUUCUGGAUGGGCCUUUCUUCUUACAGCUUGUCAGCACUAGGCAUGCUAUUAAUUCACUAGACUGUAAUCUCUGUGAGGGCAGGGGUUUUUAUUUAAUGUGAGACCUAGAACAGUGCUAGAGACACAGAAAGCUCUCAAUAAAUAGUGGCUCAAAGAAGAGCGUAAAGUGAGUCAUCCUCACCUUUUGUUUUCUCUUUCAAAUAACAAUUCAUUCUUUGAUCAAGCUCAACAGGUUCAGAUUUGGCUCAGGGCACACAAGGGUAAACCGAGGAGGUAAGGGUGUUGUCAAAGACUUGAGGGGGUGUUCACUGCAAAAACAGGCGUCUCUGAGGAUGGGCCAUGGACCAGCCGACAUGGACUGAACGAGGUGGUGGAGCUCAGCGGUUAAGAACGUGGUGGUUCAAAUCCAGGCCCCGCCAUUUAUUAGCUAUGUAACCUUGGGCAAGUUAUUUUAUCUCUGAGUCUCAUAUUCCUUAUCUGUAAAAUGUGGAUAAAAAUAUCCACCUCUUAAAGUUGUAGUGCAGGUUAACGAGAUAAAGCAUGGCGAAUGCUUAGCACGGAGCCUGGCACGGGAAAGGGAGCCAGUAUUCAUGGCACUAUGGAGGUGGAGGUGGAGCUGGAGCAUUUGGGUAGGGGGAAAAACACAGCUGGAAGAGCUGGGAAAAAGGCCAGCCUGCAGAAGACCUCUGUGUACUCGGAUGGCAUCUUAUCAGCCUGCAAUGGGGCCCUGCAAAGAGGCCUACAGCAGUAACACCUACCCAAGAGGACCUGGCUGUAGCAUGGGGACUGACACCAUCAUGGCCCUAGCUAGAUCCAGAAGCCACUGGAAUGACGCCAAUGCCUUACUACACGGAUGGUGUCUUCCCUUGGGCAAAAUAACCACAAACAUGCCUCAACACGUAAGACAGUAUAUACGGGGGAGGACACCCACGCUGAAGCCAUGCCCAAGAAUAAAGGACACAAGGUUUCACAAGAUACCCUGAGUUGAGAACUACAGGGUUUAGAACCAAGGAGGAGCAAAAGGGCAAACGGGUGAGGUGAUGUAAUUUUACUUCCAGGAAGAUAGUUGUGGUUUCAUUACAGGAGAUGGGUUUUCAGUGGGCAUCUAAAGGAGAGGGGCUUGGAAGAGAAGAGACACUACAUACUGGAGGGAGCACGUAUGAAAAUGUUAUGUCCAAUGUGAAGAGGCCCGGGCCGGAGCAGCAGUGCAAUAGCAGGGUGCGCAAGGAAUCUCUCCCGCCUCCAAGCGGGGCCCAAAUGCAUCCAUCACUGGGCAAAUGAAUAUUCUGCCCUGGAUACUGAUGGGGUCCUCUGAACUUGUUCCCCAGGGUGAGCCUGAUUUAGGCUCAAGAAGUCCCCAUUCUGCUUGAUAUUUUAAAUGGCAUAGGUACCCAAAACAGCAUGGUAUAUGGGAAGAUAGACCUGGAAUAGGGGACAGUAGACUUGAUUUGAGGUUCCAGAAAUCAUUUUCCAGCUUUAAUUUUGAGCCUCAGUUUCCUCAUCUAUGACAGGGGGGAGCAUAGCUGGCUCCCCUCACAAGCCCCUCAUGAUGAACCUCUGGGGCCUUUGGCUGUGGGAGCUCCACGCUUUGUGCUUCCAAGGACCAGUCACUUCAGCAGGCCCCCCGCCCAGCCUAGUGUGGCGCUGCAAGAAGAGCACAGCUUCUCUGGUUAAUCCUGACCUCACGCUGGCCCUGCCUGCAUGUGGAGACACAGUCUCUGGCUCCUGGGCGGGGACGCCCGUCAUCCAGUCAGUGCAGCUCAGGAGCUAAGCUCAUGAAUGGACGCCUGCAAAACACACUGGGCUCUUUGCUUGAAAGCCACCAGAGCAAGACAAAGGAUGCCUUCCCUGGCUGGAUUCCUCAGCAGGGGGCUUGCCACACCUGCCUCCUCCAGAAGCGCCUGUGCAGGUGUAGACAUGUACACCUUCCUGAACGUUGGCUCUGCCCCACCUAGUGUGCAGUGCAGAUGCAAAUUCCACUCUCUUGCAGCUACUUCUUGCAACUGCAGGCAUGUCACGUAGCCCUAACUCCCCGGCUUUAGUUUCCAGAACUACAAAGCAGGAGCCACAGACACUCUAAACUCCCUGCCUUCUAGCAAAUCUCCUAAAAGUUAUUAUGGAUUGUUUCUGAUCCUCUGGGACCUCCGUGGGUCAGCUUGCAUUCCCAAACCAAAUGCAGCCACUUGCCUUGGUCUAGCUUGCUUGGUGUCCCCAAAUGUGGCUUACUAUGAGGGUCUACAGCCAGCUUGCUGUGGUGGGGUUCUAGCUUCCAUGUACCAGCUGAAUGACCCAGGGCAAGGCACUUUAACCUCUCUGUGCCUAGGUUUCCUCGUCUCUAAAGUGGGAUCAUAGUUGCACUUACCCCAUAGGCUGUAACAUAUGCAGUAUGAACUCAUGCGUUUGAGUUGAGUUAAUUAUAUGAGUUAACACAAGUGUAUGAGCUCAUACUAUACAUGUAAAAUGCUUAAACCAGUGCCUGGCACAUAGUAAGAAUCAUUAUAAGUGAAAUAAUAGUAAUAAUGAUAGUAGGUAUUAUUAUUCAUGUUCCACCCCAAUUAUCAUUCUAGUUCCAUUUUUCUGACUUUCUCACCAUAGCCUCAAGGCCUGGCCCUAUCUGCCCUAGGUUGACUACUGCCAUAAGCACUCCAAGGCUCACAGAAGCAGGGGAUGGAAGAGAGGUUGAAUGAAGCAGGUGGAGAUGGAGGAUUGAGAAGAGGAUGUGGCUGGGCUGGAGGAGCAGGGAGAAGAUAAAGACCAUUAGAAAUAGGAUGAGAGAACAAUGCCUGGGCUAACCCUCUCGGAGCUCUGAAGGCCCAAGGCAAUGGCACAGUGUCUGUGGAAUUGUCCCCAUCUCUGGAGUCCCCCAGUAUCUACCUUAAUCUGAUGUGUGUACCACAAUGGAAUAGAAUGAAUUAAACUUGAAGGACAGUUUAUUCCUCAAGGCAGGUGGGAACUCCAUCAAAUGGAAUUGAACAGCAUUGGAAAGUGAGUGUAUUAGCUGUAUUUCUUCUCCUUUGACUUAGAAUGGAAGGUUGAGAAGAACUGUGGCCUGUUCAACCCCAGGCCUUCUCUUAGCACUUUGUGUUACUGUGUUGGGGGCCAAAAAGGAAUCAGGCAUAUCCUAGAUGCCUAAGCAAGCUGUGAGAAUAGGAGGGCCGUCUCAUGCCCAUUUGCCUGGACACUGAGUCACUUCCCUCUGUCAUUCCUAAACCAUCCUGUGGCACCAUGUUGGAUCUGUGCCAGAUAAGUUCAGGAGACUUGGAUUCUCCUCAAACUAUGUCUCAGAAAAGCAGAGCCCUAACCCAGAUUGUUUUAGACCCCUCCCCAACUCCCUGUGUUUGUUACUGACACCCUAGUCCCUGAGAUAAUCAUCCCAAGAAAGGGAGGCAGGAGAGGCCUUGCUUGUCUACCUGCUACCUUUGUCCUCUCUCUCCUUUGCUUCUCCUCCAGGCUGGGCAGAGCUGUCUACUUUCCCUUGCUAUCUGAGGGGAAGUUUUAUUAGGCUGUCGACUGUCUUUUCUGAACUAUGGCUUAUGGUAAAGUCCCAUUAUCAGACCAUCUGACUUGGCACUUUAAAGGAAGAUUUUAAAAUUUAGAAGUCUUUCCACAAAGCCUCUAGCAACUCAAGAGGGUUAGCAUGGACCCCCAAGGCUGAGCAGCGGCCCAUCGUCCAGGUGGCGUCCCCUUCCACAGGGAGAAGUGGGUCUGUGGCUGGGAAACCAUAGCAUGGCAUGCCUUACAAGGGAAAGAGGGAACAGUGGUUUAAGACGCUCAUUGGUGAUACCCCUGGUCUACUUAUGGAACAUAUGCCCCAUUACACACAUACCCCUGUGUAAUGGGACUUCCCAUUUUAUACUUAGGGGUGUAUAUUUAAAUAAGUGAGGGGGGCAUACAACAAAUGAAAGUACUCUUUUCUGAAUGCUGAGAAUAUGCAUGAUUUUCACUUUUUCUUUUACUCAUACACAUUUUCUGACUUUCUACAACCAGUAUGUUACCUUAGGAUAGAAAUAAAAAAAUAAAAUUGGUAACAUUAUAUGUUAUAUAAAAUUUUAAUUAAAAUAUAUAUUCAUUAAAUAUAUCUAAAAAGA